This 524-nucleotide ribosomal RNA is filed under the name uncultured bacterium. RNAcentral describes it as "partial 16S ribosomal RNA". It matches the Rfam family "Bacterial small subunit ribosomal RNA", at positions 28 to 523 of the family's 1533-position model. The record is from RNAcentral.
GACGAACGCUGGCGGCGUGCCUAAUACAUGCAAGUCGAGCGCAGGAAGCCGUCUGAACCCUUCGGGGGCACGACGGUGGAAUGAGGGGCGGACGGGUGAGUAACACGUAAAGAACCUGCCCAUAGGUCUGGGAUAACCACGAGAAAUCGGGGCUAAUACCGGGUGUGUCAUCGGACCGCAUGGUCCGCUGAUGAAAGGCGCUCCGGCGUCGCCCAUGGAUGGCUUUGCGGUGCAUUAGCUAGUUGGUGGGGUAACGGCCCACCAAGGCGACGAUGCAUAGCCGACCUAAGAGGGUGAUCGGCCACACUGGGACUGAGACACGGCCCAGACUCCUACGGGAGGCAGCAGUAGGGAAUCUUCCACAAUGGACGAAAGUCUGAUGGAGCAACGCCGCGUGAACGAUGAAGGCUUUCGGGUCGUAAAGUUCUGUUGUAAGGGAAGAACAAGUGCCGCAGGCAAUGGCGGCACCUUGACGGUACCUUGCGAGAAAGCCACGGCUAACUACGUGCCAGCAGCCGCCGCGG